This is a long non-coding RNA of Photinus pyralis (common eastern firefly), 469 nucleotides long. RefSeq lists it as uncharacterized. NCBI's taxonomy places the organism in Eukaryota, Metazoa, Arthropoda, Insecta, Coleoptera, Lampyridae. The transcript is spliced from 3 exons. The record is from RefSeq and is a predicted model, not a curated record.
AUUUAUUCUUUUUAAAUGAGGCGGGAACGGUUAAAUAGUGUAACCGAUAGAGGACACUAUGUCUGAUGUAAGAGCGCAUGCAUGUAUACACAACUUAUGAUAAGAGGGAUUUUUGAGCGGGACCAAGAAAAAGGCGAAUGGCGGUCGUAGAAAAGAAACGUUCCCACGGACAUAAUAAUUAACGUUGUGAUUCGAGACUUAUUUAAGUCAGUGGGGCUAGGUAGCGAAAAUAACGCGAUUUUGGUUACCUACCUAUACUACGUGCAAUUAUUCCGGUACAAACCUAAUUAGGCAAUAACUUAAUCUUCAUUUCAAUGGUUGUCUAAAAUUCUUUCAAGAGCCGUUUGUCACCUUAAGGCUCUUACCCCUAAGUAAUGGAAAUUGGAAAAAAUAUAUAGUAGCCGCCCCUGACGUCACGUGGGACGCAAAUUUAUUACCUGCACAAGUAACUGCGGAAUACCAAGCGCUG